UGCCUAGACCAGAAUCAGAUGCCUUCUAAAA
RNAcentral lists this non-coding RNA (31 nucleotides) under Rattus norvegicus (Norway rat). Lineage: Eukaryota; Metazoa; Chordata; Mammalia; Rodentia; Muridae. The record is from RNAcentral.